This 253-nucleotide ribosomal RNA is filed under the name uncultured bacterium. RNAcentral's name for it is "partial 16S ribosomal RNA". It matches the Rfam family "Bacterial small subunit ribosomal RNA", at positions 524 to 776 of the family's 1533-position model. The record is from RNAcentral.
UACGUAGGGCGCAAGCGUUGUCCGGAAUUAUUGGGCGUAAAGAGCUCGUAGGCGGCUUGUCACGUCGGGUGUGAAAGACCGGGGCUUAACCCCGGUUCUGCAUUCGAUACGGGCUAGCUAGAGUGUGGUAGGGGAGAUCGGAAUUCCUGGUGUAGCGGUGAAAUGCGCAGAUAUCAGGAGGAACACCGGUGGCGAAGGCGGAUCUCUGGGCCAUUACUGACGCUGAGGAGCGAAAGCGUGGGGAGCGAACAGG